RNAcentral lists this ribosomal RNA (1435 nucleotides) under uncultured marine bacterium. RNAcentral describes it as "bacterial SSU rRNA". It matches the Rfam family "Bacterial small subunit ribosomal RNA". The record is from RNAcentral.
GAGUUUGAUCAUGGCUCAGAACGUACGCUGGCGGCACGCCUUAUACAUGCAAGUCGAACGGAGUAGCAAUACUCAGUGGCAGACGGGUGAGUAACAUGUAGGUAUCUUCCCUUUGGUGAGGAAUAACACGAGGAAACUUGUGCUAAUACCUCAUAAGUCUUUACGGAGAAAGCUUUAUGCGCCAAUGGAUGAGCCUGCACUUGAUUAGUUUGUUGGUAGGGUAAUGGCCUACCAAGACUGUGAUCAAUAGCUGAUCUGAGAGGAUGAUCAGCCACAUUGGGACUGAGACACGGCCCAAACUCCUACGGGAGGCAGCAGUAGGGAAUAUUGCACAAUGGAGGAAACUCUGAUGCAGCGAUGCCGCGUGAGUGAAGAAGGCCUUUGGGUUGUAAAGCUCUUUCGUCGGGGAAGAAAAUGACUGUACCCGAAUAAGAAGGUCCGGCUAACUUCGUGCCAGCAGCCGCGGUAAUACGAAGGGACCAAGCGUAGUUCGGAAUUACUGGGCUUAAAGAGUUCGUAGGUGGUUAAAAAAGUUGGUGGUGAAAUCCCAGAGCUUAACUCUGGAACUGCCAUCAAAACUUUUUAGCUAGAGUAUGAUAGAGGAAAGCAGAAUUUCUAGUGUAGAGGUGAAAUUCGUAGUUAUUAGAAAGAAUACCAAUUGCGAAGGCAGCUUUCUGGAUCAUUACUGACACUGAGGAACGAAAGCAUGGGUAGCGAAGAGGAUUAGAUACCCUCGUAGUCCAUGCCGUAAACGAUGUGUGUUAGACGUUGGAAAUUUAUUUUCAGUGUCGCAGCGAAAGCGAUAAACACACCGCCUGGGGAGUACGACCGCAAGGUUAAAACUCAAAUGAAUUGACGGGGACCCGCACAAGUAGUGGAGCAUGUGGUUUAAUUCGAAGAUACGCGCAGAACCUUACCAACACUUGACAUGUUCGUCGCGACUCUAAGAGAUUAGAGUUUUCGGUUCGGCCGGACGAAACACAGGUGCUGCAUGGCUGUCGUCAGCUCGUGUCGUGAGAUGUUGGGUUAAGUCCCGCAACGAGCGCAACCCUCACUUUUAGUUGCCAUCAUUAAGUUGGGCACUCUGAAAGAACUGCCAGUGAUAAGCUGGAGGAAGGUGGGGAUGACGUCAAGUCCUCAUGGCCCUUACGUGUUGGGCUACACACGUGCUACAAUGGUAUCUACAACAGGAAGCAAGGCCGCGAGGUCAAGCAAAUCCUUAAAAGAUACCUCAGUUCGGAUUGCACUCUGCAACUCGAGUGCAUGAAGCUGGAAUUACUAGUAAUCGUGGAUCAGCGUGCCACGGUGAAUGCGUUCCCGGGUCUUGUACACACCGCCCGUCACACCAUGGGAGUUGGUUCUACCUUAAGGCAAGGCUUUAAACCCUUGACCACGGUAUAGUCAGCGACUGGGGUGAAGUCGUAACAAGGUAACC